This 480-nucleotide ribosomal RNA is filed under the name uncultured bacterium. Its description in RNAcentral is "partial 16S ribosomal RNA". It matches the Rfam family "Bacterial small subunit ribosomal RNA", at positions 899 to 1397 of the family's 1533-position model. The record is from RNAcentral.
ACUCAAAUGAAUAGACGGGGACCCGCACAAGCAGCGGAGCGUGUGGUUUAAUUCGAUGCGACGCGAAUAACCUUACCAAGGCUUGACAUGUAUUCGCAACACCGAGAAAUCGGUGCCUCCGCAAGGACGGAUACACAGAUGCUGCAUGGCUGUCGUCAGCUCGUGUCGUGAGAUGUUGGGUUAAGUCCCGCAACGAGCGCAACCCUUGUCCUUAGUUGCAUAUCUAGGGAGACCGCCGGAAACAAACCGGAGGAAGGUGGGGAUGAAGUCAAGUCCGCAUGGCUCUUACGUCUUGGGCUACACACACGCUACAAUGGCCGGUACAACAAGAAGCCACCCCGCAAGGGGGAGCAGACCUCCAAAACCGGCCCCAGUUCAGAUUGCACUCUGCAACUCGAGUGCAUGAAGUCGGAGUUGCUAGUAACCGCGUGUCAGCAUAGCGCGGUGAAUAUGUUCCCGGGUCUUGCACACACCGCCCGU